UGCCCGAAGGGUGACGAAGCGACGCCGCGUGAGCGAAGAAGGCCCUAGGGUUGUAAAGCUCUGUCGGGGGCUAUGAAAUGCAGGUUGGUUAAUACCCAACCUGUUUGACAAAGGCCCCAAAGGAAGCCACGGCUAACUCUGUGCCAGCAGCCGCGGUAAUACAGGGGUGGCAAGCGUUGUUCGGUAUUAUUGGGCGUAAAGAGCACGUAGGUGGUUUUGUAAGUCAGAUGUGAAAGCCUUCUGUUCAAAGGAAGAACGGCAUCUGAAACUGCAGAUCUUGAGUGUAGGAGGGGAGAGUGGAACUUCUGGUGGAGCGGUGAAAUGCGUAGAUAUCAGAAGGAACGUCGGCGGCGAAAGCGACUCUCUGGCCUAUUACUGACACUGAGUGUGCGAAAGUUAGGGGAGCAAACGGGAUUAGAUACCCCGGUAGUCCUAACUGUAAACGAUGGGCACUAAGUAGAGGGG
This 465-nucleotide ribosomal RNA is filed under the name uncultured Planctomycetota bacterium. Its description in RNAcentral is "bacterial SSU rRNA". It matches the Rfam family "Bacterial small subunit ribosomal RNA", at positions 372 to 828 of the family's 1533-position model. Lineage: Bacteria; Pseudomonadati; Planctomycetota. The record is from RNAcentral.